RNAcentral lists this ribosomal RNA (253 nucleotides) under uncultured bacterium. Its description in RNAcentral is "partial 16S ribosomal RNA". It matches the Rfam family "Bacterial small subunit ribosomal RNA", at positions 524 to 776 of the family's 1533-position model. The record is from RNAcentral.
UACGGAGGGGACUAGCGUUGUUCGGAAUUACUGGGCGUAAAGCGCACGUAGGCGGAUUUGUAAGUCAGGGGUGAAAUCCCGGGGCUCAACCUCGGAACUGCCUUUGAUACUGCAAAUCUCGAGUCCGGAAGAGGUGAGUGGAAUUCCUAGUGUAGAGGUGAAAUUCGUAGAUAUUCGGAGGAACACCAGUGGCGAAGGCGGCUCACUGGCUCGAUACUGACGCUGAGGUGCGAAAGCGUGGGGAGCAAACAGG